UACAGAGGGUGCGAGCGUUAAUCGGAAUUAUUGGGCGUAAAGCGCGCGCAGGCGGUCCUUUAAGUCUGAUGUGAAAGCCCACGGCUCAACCGUGGAGGGUCAUUGGAAACUGGAGGACUUGAGUACUGAAGAGGAAAGUGGAAUUCCACGUGUAGCGGUGAAAUGCGUAGAGAUGUGGAGGAACACCAGUGGCGAAGGCGACUUUCUGGUCAGUAACUGACGCUGAGGCGCGAAAGCGUGGGGAGCAAACAGG
RNAcentral lists this ribosomal RNA (253 nucleotides) under uncultured prokaryote. RNAcentral's name for it is "partial 16S ribosomal RNA". It matches the Rfam family "Bacterial small subunit ribosomal RNA", at positions 524 to 776 of the family's 1533-position model. The record is from RNAcentral.